Chinchilla lanigera (long-tailed chinchilla) is the source of this 2860-nucleotide long non-coding RNA. Lineage: Eukaryota; Metazoa; Chordata; Mammalia; Rodentia; Chinchillidae. The record is from Ensembl.
CUCAGAGACCAAGCUUCCAUAGAGGAAGAAUUCCCAAAAUCAUCCAUCACAGAGAAGGCUUUUAAAAUACCUUUGGAGACUGCAAUGAAGAAAGAAUGGACACCAUCAGUGUCCCUGCUUCUGAAGUCCCCGGGAGUGCAGAGGCAGAGGCCAGGCAUGCACUGCUCCUCAUGCUACCCUCAGCCCAGCACCGACUCGCAUAUGGAGAACCCAAGCUCUCCAAAGAGAGAGGCAUCUUCUCUGCCCAGGUGUCCCUCAAUGCCAAGCACAGACAAUGCAUGAGAUGGAUUCCUGGUGUAUUCGCAGUGAUGUAAGUCAUUCAGUAGGUGCAGAGUGACUGAUCCUGCAGCAGGGAGUCCAGGCCAUUUUCCCUUGACAAAUGUUGAGCCAUUUGCUCUCAAAAGUGAUUGCUCCACUUAUCGCCAAGGAGGUGGAAGCUGGGGCACCCUGCUGCAGACUGAAUAUUUAGGUCUCCUCAGAAUGAAUGUGUUGAAAACGAAUCCCCAAAGUGCUAGAAUUUGGAAGCAGGGAUUUGGGGAGGAGAUAAGGUCAUGAGGGCAGAGAUCUCAUGAGUGGACCUAGUGCCUGUAUGAAAAAGGACCCCAGAGAAAGCCCUUCUGCUUUCACAUAUGAAGACACAACAAGGCAAAGAUGGCUGUCAAUGAGUCAAGAAGUGAGCCUCACCAGGCACUGAAUCUGCCAGCACCUCGAACCGGGAGUUUUCAGCUGUUGAAUUAGGAGAAGUAAACUUCUGUGGCUUACAAACCACAGAAUUCACCGCAUUUUCAUAUCGCAGCCCUCACUGAUGAAGACACACCCUGCAUCACCUUCACAAUUAGUCUGGUUCAGGCAGGAGCUGUGCCGCAGAGGAGAACGUUCCUGAGACUCUGGUGGAGCAAGACUCCGCCAUGCUGGCCCAGCUCUAUUCUUAGCCACGCUCACAGCCGUUCUGGGGAGAAGGCUGGUUGUUGUUAAGCUUCGGCAGCGUCUGGCUUUCUCCGUCCAAUCUUCGCUGCAGCCUUCUGUUUCCGCCUUCAGGUACAUGAUUCGUUCCUGUCCUUGUAUCAAAGUGGGGAGGGGGGCCAUCUGGAAGAGGUGCCGCAUCCUCUCCUCACUCGGCUCCAGCUCCGCUGUAUUCCCGACUCCCACCUCCGUUAUCUGGGCCUUCAUGUUAUUUUUACAAGACUUGGCUCAAAGUCCAGAUUAGCAUUGUCUUAUUAGAGCCUGAAUGAUUUUCCUUCUCUGGGGUGGUCACCAUCUUCAUGGGUGGAUGAAGUUCCCUUAGAUCAGGUCCAGGGUGACGUGCCGAGACAAGUCACAGGCACCCACACUCCAGGCGCAGUCACUGGCUCUGUGUCCCAUCUGGACAAAGACUCCUUCUAGGCUGCCUUCUAGCCCCUGAGGCCCUGCCAAGAACAGGCUGCUGAGACUCAGAGCUCUCUCUCUGAGGCUACACUGCAGGAAGGAAGUACACUGCCUGUCAGUCUUUGGUAUAGGUUACAACCCAAGGAAGAAGGCAGAAUGCGCAUUUAGAGUCCUCUGAUCUCACUGUAACUUCGUUCAUUCAUUCAUUCAGUACUUAUUCAUAUAUUUAGCUCGUGAGUUCCUGGACGAGCUCAAGUUUCCCCAUUAAGCAAGCACUUUGUGGACCAUGGGCAUGGGGGCCAGCAGCUCAUUAAAGAGACAGUCCCGGGAAAUACAAAUGAAAGAGCAGAACUGUGAAAACAGGAAAGGAAUAAAGACUGCCUUUGGUGUACUCAUGAGGUUUUUACCACUGAGUAUAAGGAAGGGCUCAGUCUUGUGUCUCUGAGGACCUGGGGAGAACCCAGGGUCAAGGGACAUAGUCACUGACCCCUAUCUCCCAUUGAUUGAGAGUUCUUUUGGGGACAUUAAGUCCCCAGCACUUUCACUUCUUAUAAGUGUCUGAGCAAGCUCCCAUGGUUCUUCAGGCAGAAAAAUCUGUCAGUGGCUGGGCAGUGUUCAUGGAAGUUACAAAAAGAUUCAAAGGGAAGGGCAGGGGACACAGAGUAAAGCACCAAGAACAUGUACUUCUGGCCAUGUUGUUCAUUUUGCUGAUGCUGAUCAGAUGCUAGCACCAAGGACCAGGAGGAUGCCCCGAUUUGGCUCUGAACCCUUUUGCCAUCCAAGAACCAACUGUAUUUUUUGAUGGUUUGAAAGCCGUCCUUACAGGAAGCCUCUGGGGGGUAGUGUGGUUCUGUUGGUCUGGAGUUUAAGUGUGGCUCUGGGGCCACAACUCUGCCUUAUCCAUGGAUUCAUUGAUAAAUGUGCAAACACGAAGCAUAAAUGAGGCUCCUCUCAUGGGUCUAGGGAUGAGCCAGCCAAGGCCCCUGUCCCCAAAUGACCCAUCCAAGUCUAGGUGGAAACAAACACAGCCCACCGUGGCGUGCUGCAGUCCAAAGAGAUUUGCUGUGGGAUCACAGAAUAGAAAUUGCAAUGGACCCACAGCGGAAUAGUAAAGACUCAGUGGAAGAGAUGAUACCUAAUUUUAUACCAUUAUGAACAGCAGUGAUUGAGGAUUCCUUCUGCCAGUUACAAUUUUAAUUUUCAUUUGGAAGGCCAGGGCUGCAGCAGGAUGGAUCUCCUUCCCAGGCAGGCUGACUUCUGUCAGUAACAGAAUCUGUCACUCUCACCCUGAUCUGCAUGGCAGUGAAACUUGUUCAGAAAUCACAGCGAGGGCAUCCUAGUACACCCGCCUACAGAAACUUUAUGCCUCAAGCCAAGUCUUCGGUCUUCACCCAUUCAAGCUUUUUUUUUUUUUUUUUUUGGUUUUUCUCUGGUACCAGGAACCGAACUCACGACCUUGCGCUUGCCAGGCAGGCGCUUUUGCCGCUGAGCUAAA